AUUCAGCUGACGAGUGCCAAAUAGGACGAAACGCACGUUGUGGAU
Schistosoma haematobium is the source of this 45-nucleotide non-coding RNA. The record is from Rfam. Lineage: Eukaryota; Metazoa; Platyhelminthes; Trematoda; Strigeidida; Schistosomatidae.